CCUACGGGAGGCAGCAGUAGGGAAUAUUGCUCAAUGGGGGAAACCCUGAAGCAGCAAAGCCGCGUGGAGGAUGAAGGUUUUCGGAUUGUAAACUCCUUUUGUUAGAGAAGAAAAUGACGGUAUCUAACGAAUAACCACCGGCUCACUCAGUGACAGUAGCCGCUGUAAUACGGAGGGUGCAAGCGUUACUCGGAAUCACUGGGCGUAAAGCGCGCGUAGGCGGGAUAGCAAGUCAGAUGUGAAAUCCUAUGGCUUAACCAUAGAACUGCAUUUGAAACUGUUAUUCUAGAGUAUGGGAGGGGUAGGCGGAAUUCUUGGUGUAGGGGUAAAAUGCGUAGAGAUCAAGAGGAAUACUCAUUGCGAAGGCGACCUGCUAGAACAUAACUGACGCUGAUGCGCGAAAGCGUGGGGAGCAAACAGGAUUAGAUACCCGGGUAGUC
This 440-nucleotide ribosomal RNA is filed under the name uncultured bacterium. RNAcentral describes it as "partial 16S ribosomal RNA". It matches the Rfam family "Bacterial small subunit ribosomal RNA", at positions 338 to 795 of the family's 1533-position model. The record is from RNAcentral.